RNAcentral lists this ribosomal RNA (383 nucleotides) under uncultured Halobacteria archaeon. Its description in RNAcentral is "bacterial SSU rRNA". It matches the Rfam family "Archaeal small subunit ribosomal RNA", at positions 471 to 851 of the family's 1478-position model. The record is from RNAcentral. Lineage: Archaea; Methanobacteriati; Methanobacteriota; Halobacteria.
UAAAACCAGCUCAUAGAGUGGUGAUCGUGAUUAUUUGGCUUAAAGUGUGCGUAGCAGGGAAUUCUAAGUCCUCUGUGAAAUGUCAGGUCUUAAGCUUGACACGUGCAGAGGAUACUGGAAUCCUUGGGACCGGGAUAGGUGUAAUGUACGGUUUGGGUAGGGGUGAAAUCCGAUAAUCCAAGCCGGACAACCGGUGGCGAAGGCGUUACACUGGAACGGGUCCGACUGUGAGGCACGAAAGCUAGGGUCGCGAGCCGGAUUAGAUACCCGGGUAGUCCUAUGCUGUAAACGAUGCUCACUAAGUGUUAGGUAAUGCAAGACAUUCUCUAGUGCCGAAGCGAAAGCGUUAAGUGAGCCGCCUGGGAAGUACGUUCGCAAGAAUG